GAUGAACGCUGGCGGCGUGCCUAAUACAUGCAAGUCGAGCGAACAGACGAGGAGCUUGCUCCUCUGACGUUAGCGGCGGACGGGUGAGUAACACGUGGAUAACCUACCUAUAAGACUGGGAUAACUUCGGGAAACCGGAGCUAAUACCGGAUAAUAUAUUGAACCGCAUGGUUCAAUAGUGAAAGACGGUUUUGCUGUCACUUAUAGAUGGAUCCGCGCCGCAUUAGCUAGUUGGUAAGGUAACGGCUUACCAAGGCAACGAUGCGUAGCCGACCUGAGAGGGUGAUCCGCCACCCUGGAGCUGAGACACGGUCCAGACUCCUACGGGAGGCAGCAGUAGGGAAUCUUCCGCGAUGGACGAAAGCUUGACGGAGCAACGCCGCGUGAGUGAUGAAGGUCUUCGGAUCGUAAAACUCUGUUAUUAGGGAAGAACAAAUGUGUAAGUAACUAUGCACGUCUUGACGGUACCUAAUCAGAAAGCCACGGCUAACUACGUG
This 497-nucleotide ribosomal RNA is filed under the name uncultured bacterium. RNAcentral's name for it is "partial 16S ribosomal RNA". It matches the Rfam family "Bacterial small subunit ribosomal RNA", at positions 28 to 507 of the family's 1533-position model. The record is from RNAcentral.